This 497-nucleotide ribosomal RNA is filed under the name uncultured bacterium. RNAcentral describes it as "partial 16S ribosomal RNA". It matches the Rfam family "Bacterial small subunit ribosomal RNA", at positions 28 to 507 of the family's 1533-position model. The record is from RNAcentral.
GACGAACGCUGGCGGCGUGCCUAAUACAUGCAAGUUGAGCGCUGAAGGUUGGUACUUGUUCCAACUGGGUUAGCAGCGAACGGGUGAGUAACGCGUGGGUAAUCUGCCUUUGAGCGGGGGACAACAUUUGGAAACGAAUGCUAAUACCGCAUAAAAACUUUAAACACAAGUUUUAAUUUUGAAAGAUGCAAUUGCAUCACUCAAAGAUGAUCCCGCGUUGUAUUAGCUAGUUGGUGAGGUAAAGGCUCACCAAGGCGAUGAUACAUAGCCGACCUGAGAGGGGGAUCGGCCACAAUGGGACUGGGACAACGCCCAAGCUCCUUCGGGGGGGAGCAGGAGGGAAUCUUCGGCAAAGGACGAAAGGCUGACCGAGCAAAGCCGGGUGAGUGAAGAAGGUUUUCGGAUCGGAAAAAUCUGUUGGUAGAGAAGAAAGUUGGUGAGAGUGGAAAGCUCAUCACGUGACGGUAACUACUCAGAAAGGGACGGCUAACUACGUG